This 510-nucleotide ribosomal RNA is filed under the name uncultured bacterium. RNAcentral describes it as "partial 16S ribosomal RNA". It matches the Rfam family "Bacterial small subunit ribosomal RNA", at positions 28 to 507 of the family's 1533-position model. The record is from RNAcentral.
GACGAACGCUGGCGGCGUGCUUAACACAUGCAAGUCGAACGAAGAGCGAUGGAAGCUUGCUUCUAUCAAUCUUAGUGGCGAACGGGUGAGUAACGCGUAAUCAACCUGCCCUUCAGAGGGGGACAACAGUUGGAAACGACUGCUAAUACCGCAUACGAUCUAAUCUCGGCAUCGAGGAUAGAUGAAAGGUGGCCUCUACAUGUACGCUAUCACUGAAGGAGGGGAUUGCGUCUGAUUAGCUAGUUGGAGGGGUAACGGCCCACCAAGGCGAUGAUCAGUAGCCGGUCUGAGAGGAUGAACGGCCACAUUGGGACUGAGACACGGCCCAGACUCCUACGGGAGGCAGCAGUGGGGAAUCUUCCGCAAUGGACGAAAGUCUGACGGAGCAACGCCGCGUGAGUGAUGACGGCCUUCGGGUUGUAAAGCUCUGUUAAUCGGGACGAAAGGCCUUCUUGCGAAUAGUGAGAAGGAUUGACGGUACCGGAAUAGAAAGCCACGGCUAACUACGUG